GAGGAGGCAAGACGUAAUGAGCAGAAUCGGGUGUCAGAUUUGCAUGGUAGAGCAACCUAUACAUGUGGCUCAAGGAACAUGUGUCGGGCUAUGGAACAAUUGAAAUGUCAAAUCAUUGAGGAUGGUGGCAAACCUACAAUGUUGAAACUAUAUUUGGGUACCCACUCGUCAUCGGUACAUAAGAUCACCGGAGAGUAUACAUACCCGGAGAGUAUUGCAGUUCCAGUAAUAAAGUAGAACGAGAACACAAUGCUUUAGUGCAAUGUACACCAGUGGCAAUUACGGAUGGCAAGGGUUCAACUACUUGACCGACAAAUUGUAGCAAAAAGUUCCCUUAUUUUUUAUUGCAUUGAAAUACCGUCUGUUGGUGAAUUUUCAUGUGUCAUUUUGCUACAAUGUGAAAGACGAAGGUUCAUGCCUAAGUGUAGCUACUGUUUUGUGUUCGAGACUUGCAAAAGUGUAUAUAAUUUAAAUAUGGAUCGAUAUCCCCUUGAAUAGAUGUUCUGGAUGAAAAUUAAACUACUUUUUAAUU
Molecule: long non-coding RNA, 532 nt
Organism: Asparagus officinalis (garden asparagus)
Lineage: Eukaryota; Viridiplantae; Streptophyta; Magnoliopsida; Asparagales; Asparagaceae
Exons: 3
Source: RefSeq, a predicted model, not a curated record